This is a non-coding RNA of Microcebus murinus (gray mouse lemur), 657 nucleotides long. Lineage: Eukaryota; Metazoa; Chordata; Mammalia; Primates; Cheirogaleidae. The record is from RefSeq and is a predicted model, not a curated record.
CCCGCCCAGACGCUGCCGCAAAGCCAGAAGCCUGAUCUCCACCAAGGGCUCCCUCCUUUUGCGGCAUCUGCGGAGUUCCAGAUAUGAAUAUGCAAUGAACUGAAUUCUUGGCUAAAGACUUCUGCACUCUUGGAGGAAUCAGAAAGCUCAUCACCGAGACUAUUUCUAAUUCUGCUCCUUUCUUUCUGUAUCUGCGCACAAUUCCAGUUACGGAAAAAAAGUAGGUGACAAUUAUCUUCAUAUGAAGUGAAGCCAUGUCUUCAAACCUCAAACAAUCAAAAUUCCUGAAGACAGCAAAAUUGCCAAAGGAAAUAAUUUCUUAGAUGGUCUCCUUUACAAUACCAGGCAUAGAAAGGGUGAAUAAUAAACUUGGCUAGCAGCAAAGUUUUGCAAGCACCUCAUUCAGCCGAGAUAGUAAGGGGGUUGGAAGAUGAAUAACCUUGGGAUCUAUUGACAAUGAAGAACUAUGCUCGACUUCUAGCAAAGCUGUCCCCAUCUCUGCAUGACGAAGAGCAGCCAGCACACACGCCAUUGUACAUGCAGCCUUCACAGUUGGAGUGACUCUCUCACUGAGUGAGAAGUAUUUCAGUAUCUCUCUGGGAGACAAAAAGAUUCCUGCACCUAUUAUAUUACCUAAUAAAAGCCCUUCUUCCUGGA